CGGAGGAAACCCAACAAGCGAGAACAUGCAAACUGCAUGCACACAGACACAGAGGUGGGAACUGAACUCACAACCCUGGAGAAGACUUUAUAUACUAAUCAACUACUUCUUUUAUACAUCUUAAUGUAAAUGACCAUGAGUGCUAGUUUAGUACACAGAUGGGGAACCCUGCUGACUUGACAGUUGUCCAGAUGAUCAUUGACACCCUGCACAAGGAUGGGCUACACAAAGGAGGAGAUGUACGGGACAAAGCCUCGGGCACUGGAGAACUUGCAGGCAGUAC
Long non-coding RNA from Clarias gariepinus (North African catfish), 283 nucleotides. RefSeq lists it as uncharacterized. NCBI's taxonomy places the organism in Eukaryota, Metazoa, Chordata, Actinopteri, Siluriformes, Clariidae. The record is from RefSeq and is a predicted model, not a curated record. The transcript is spliced from 3 exons.